GACGAACGCUGGCGGCGUGCUUAACACAUGCAAGUCGAACGAUGAAGCUGGAGCUUGCUCCGGUGGAUUAGUGGCGAACGGGUGAGUAACACGUGAGCAAUCUGCCCUUGACUCUGGGAUAACUGCGGGAAACUGUAGCUAAUACCGGAUACUUUCCUUGGUGGGCAUCCACUGGGGAAGAAAGAAUUUCGGUCAAGGAUGAGCUCGCGGCCUAUCAGCUAGUUGGUGAGGUAAUGGCUCACCAAGGCGACGACGGGUAGCCGGCCUGAGAGGGUGACCGGCCACACUGGAACUGAGACACGGUCCAGACUCCUACGGGAGGCAGCAGUGGGGAAUAUUGCACAAUGGGCGAAAGCCUGAUGCAGCAACGCCGCGUGGGGGACGAAGGCCUUCGGGUUGUAAACCUCUUUUAGCAGGGAAGAAGCGAAAGUGACGGUACCUGCAGAAAAAGCACCGGCUAACUACGUGCCAGCAGCCGCCGUAA
This 484-nucleotide ribosomal RNA is filed under the name uncultured bacterium. RNAcentral's name for it is "partial 16S ribosomal RNA". It matches the Rfam family "Bacterial small subunit ribosomal RNA", at positions 28 to 523 of the family's 1533-position model. The record is from RNAcentral.